AUGAGAUUUCCCAUAGCGUAAGCUAGUAAGACCCCUGAGAGAUGAUCAGGUUGAUAGGUCAGAGGUGGAAGCGUGGUGACACGUGGAGCUGACUGAUACUAAUCGGUCGAGGACUUAACUAA
RNAcentral lists this ribosomal RNA (122 nucleotides) under Gottfriedia endophytica. RNAcentral describes it as "Bacterial large subunit ribosomal RNA". It matches the Rfam family "Bacterial large subunit ribosomal RNA", at positions 2804 to 2925 of the family's 2925-position model. The record is from Rfam by way of RNAcentral. Lineage: Bacteria; Bacillati; Bacillota; Bacilli; Caryophanales; Bacillaceae.